UACGUAGGGUGCAAGCGUUGUCCGGAAUUAUUGGGCGUAAAGAGCUCGUAGGCGGUUUGUCGCGUCUGCCGUGAAAGUCCGGGGCUCAACUCCGGAUCUGCGGUGGGUACGGGCAGACUAGAGUGAUGUAGGGGAGACUGGAAUUCCUGGUGUAGCGGUGAAAUGCGUAGAGAUCCGGAGGAACACCAGCGGCGAAGGCGGCAUCCUGGACUGGUCCUGACACUCAGGAGCGAAAGCGUGGGGAGCGAUCCGG
Molecule: ribosomal RNA, 253 nt
Filed under: uncultured bacterium
Lineage: Bacteria
Description: partial 16S ribosomal RNA
Rfam family: Bacterial small subunit ribosomal RNA
Source: RNAcentral